This 120-nucleotide non-coding RNA is filed under the name Streptomyces oceani. RNAcentral's name for it is "Streptomyces sp. SCSIO 02100 Streptomyces sRNA scr5239". It matches the Rfam family "Streptomyces sRNA scr5239". Rfam says of the family: It inhibits agarase DagA expression by direct base pairing to the dagA coding region, and it represses translation of methionine synthase metE (SCO0985) at the 5' end of its open reading frame. Lineage: Bacteria; Bacillati; Actinomycetota; Actinomycetes; Kitasatosporales; Streptomycetaceae. The record is from Rfam by way of RNAcentral.
CUUCCGCUCUUCCCGCACAGAAGAGUGGAACGAGGUUCACGGCGCUCUCUGCCCUGACGCGCCCGAGCCUUGGAACUCCGGGCUGCGGCGCUGGGCGGGGUGAGGGUCCCACCCCGGCGC